AGGCGCGUAGCUCAGUUGGUUAGAGCGCAUCCCUCACACGGAUGAGGUCAUCGGUUCGAGUCCGAUCGCGCCUACCA
Molecule: transfer RNA, 77 nt
Filed under: Holophagae bacterium
Lineage: Bacteria; Pseudomonadati; Acidobacteriota; Holophagae
Also listed under: 2 other names
Description: tRNA-Val
Rfam family: tRNA
About the family: Transfer RNA (tRNA) molecules are approximately 80 nucleotides in length.
Source: RNAcentral